Long non-coding RNA from Clarias gariepinus (North African catfish), 1361 nucleotides. RefSeq lists it as uncharacterized. The transcript has 5 exons. The record is from RefSeq and is a predicted model, not a curated record. NCBI's taxonomy places the organism in Eukaryota, Metazoa, Chordata, Actinopteri, Siluriformes, Clariidae.
CGAGACAAUGAAUUGAAAAACCGUGGAGAAGAAAGACACCUGAGGGAGGCAGUUGGUGAGCGCGCGCAUGGAAAGGUCCAUCUUGCUAUUUGCAAAGUUAACACAUUCAAAGGCUUUAUAAUGACUGCUCUCAAAACAGACUGCUGCAUAAAAACGGCAUGAAUUAAGAUGCCAUCAAGGAGGCCAUUAAAGACACCACUGUUGGUAUUUAUGUUCUUAAACAACAUACAGUAGUGGUUAUGCUGCUCGGACUGAUGUAUGCUCUAAACCUCAGCUACCCUGCCAACCGUCGCUUCACGUUUGAGGUUGUUCCAUAGAUUUUUAUGGAACCGGAUGGAGGAAACAGGAGUACCCGGAGGAAACCCACAAAGCACGGGAGAACAUGCAAACUCAAUCCAGACAGAGACGGGAAUCGAGCCUGGUCGGGAAUCGAACCUGGAGGUGCAAGGCGACAGUGCUAACCACUAUACCACCACAGACUACAGUAGUUCAAUGAAAAGGUUACAGAGUCUGAAUUUAACACAAAUAGAUAGUUUAAAUUUUAUGAACACUUGAAUUGUUCAUAAAGGCAUUGCUACUAUAUAUUAUUAGCAUUUUUUUUAUGAAUUCACUGUAACUUUACAAUGUUUUCUUUUAUGAAUUCAUUAUUUAAACAGGUUUUUAACAUUUUUGGUUUGCAGAGUUAGCAAAACAGUUUUUUUUUUUUUUAGGGAUGCACCGAAAUGAAAAUUCUGGGCCAAAAACGAAACCGAAAUUUUUGGAUGCACUUGGCCGAAAACCGAUACCGAAACCGAAAAUGGCUUCAUUAAAAAAACGUUUAAAAUAUUUUCUUUUUGUUUGUAUUAAAAAAAUGUUGCAUAUUGCAACUUUGCUGUCCUCAUCUGAAACUUUGAAGUGCUUCCAAACCGCCAACAUACUCCGUGUUUAAUGCGUAAUGACAGCGCGAACGAGACGGGAGGAUGGGAGAGGCGUGGCGACAAUUUCGGCUUUUAUUUUCGGCGCUUUCUUACGUUUCGGCCGAAACCGAUAAUGCUAUUUCGGCCGAAAAUUUUCGCCGGCCGAAAUUUCGGUGCAUCCCUAGUUUUUUUAUUUGCUAUAUUGAAUAUAUAUAUAUAUUUUUUAGAGUUAUUCCUUAUCAAAGGUUGUUUACGCUGGGUUGUCUUUUUAGUGGUUUAGCCAUUUAUAAUAAUUUGCCUUAUUCACUUAUGUUGCCACAUUUAGUGAAUUUUCUGUGAAAUUAUUUUUCUUCAAAAUUUACUUUGUAACUCUUUACACUUGCAUUUUGCUGUGACAGUAAAUUAUACAUGAUUUGAUGCAAUGUCUGGUUUGCAAAGUUUUAAUGGUCAGUAGAGCAUGUUUGU